CUCUAUGCUGUCAUGGAACCUUCUGCCUGACUUUGAUGUCACACUUUCAUCUGAGCCCUCUGAUCCAGUGCCUAACCUCCAUCCCAUCUGUGACAUCAUCUACCGUCCUUCUGAACUUCAUACAUGCAUGCUUGAAACGGACCCCUAAUGCUAGGCUAAAGCCUGACACACAGGCUGGGCCUCCCUUAAGCUAGCCUCUAGACCAUGGUGACAGUUUCCUCCUGAUCUGAAGAGAAACCUUUCUUCCGUACACGUAACCCACUGAAAAAAGCAGGAAGCUGAAAGGUCUUCUCAUUCAAAGAUGGUUUUUGGAUGGGUGCCGUGCUGGAAUUGCUUGCAAGAGGUCCUUGCUCAUCUGCAAACCCCUGAGUAUCUUCUCCUGUGAGAGACAGGCCUGUAUGGUUCUCAUUGAACAGCUGGUACUUGCAGUUUGCUACUUCCUCAUGCCGGCCCGAGAAUCAAGGGAAAAAAUCGUCAGCAGAAAAACUCCUCAAAAGUUUCUUGAAAGGCACCCCAUGGUGGUCAAAAGCUGCUUUGAGCAAAGUCGUCGAAGGAAGGCAAGAUCAGAAAGCUGGAAAAUCCCAAGCAGAAAGAAAUGUUUCCAAAUCUUCACACACACACACAAACGAGCCUUCUUUUAACUUCUGGAGAUUCCUAGUUGCUGAGAAGUCCCAGUUAACGUUGGUGCCCUUGAAGCUGAAUAAUCAUAAUAAAAAAAAAAGAAAGCACCACUCUUCCGCUUUUGCUUCAGGUUUCUGUCUGGAAUGCAGAUUCCAGCCAAGGAGCACCAACCAACGAGGCUGGUUUCGUGUUGCUGCGUCUUAAACUCUGCACAGCUCUUUCUGCGGACCAUAAACAGUCUAGGAGAGGGGAAAAAGAAAAGCACACGGGAAGAAGUCCCAGAGGGGGAGCUGGGUUACUCCGCGGCAGCAAAAACAGAUGAAAUCUUCUGGAGGACAGAUGUGUCACGUUUUACUGCCAGAGGAAGGCAAAGCACAUCAUCAUUUACACACGCAAAAAGGCUUCGUCAGAAGUAGCCCAAAUGAAUUAUGCAUCUGGUUUAAAGUAACCUAAUGCUUGGUUUUCCAGAAUCACUGCGACAUUUCCUCAACGAGAGGAAUUAAGGCAUGCUGUUGUUGUGUGCAACGGUAUUUAUUAACGAAAAGUUCAUAGCAUUGAAGAGUGCAAUCCAACUGUCGCUGGUUCAUCAACUGGGGGGAGGGGGGGUGCUGGCAUUAGGAUGAGACAGAAGACUCCCAAUGCCACCUGAAGUGGAGAAAUACUGCCUUAACUGAACACACACGUGUAAAUGCCUGGGAAAGGUUCUGCAGGUGGCGUUCCACCCAUAGAUACCUAAAA
Long non-coding RNA from Podarcis raffonei (Aeolian wall lizard), 1359 nucleotides. RefSeq lists it as uncharacterized. The transcript is spliced from 5 exons. The record is from RefSeq and is a predicted model, not a curated record. NCBI's taxonomy places the organism in Eukaryota, Metazoa, Chordata, Lepidosauria, Squamata, Lacertidae.